ACGACUCUUGACAAUGGAUAUCUCAGCUCUUGUAUUGAUGAAGAACGUAGAGAAAUGUGAUACUUGGUGUGAAUUGCCGAAUCCCAUGAACCAUCGAGUCUUUGAACGCAAGUUGCGCCCAAAGCCACUAGGCCGAGGGCACGCCUGCUUGGGUGUCACGGAUCACGUCGCCCCCUCCCCGCGCCCAAACGUGCUGCGGGGGCGGAGAGUGGUCCCCCAUGCGUGGCGUCGCAUGGUCGGGCCAAAUGUGAUCCCCGGUGAUGCACGUCACGACAAGUGGUGGUUGAACCAUCAACAUGCGCUAUCGUGCACCACCGUGUUGGGACGCACGAUCAGACCCAACGGCAUGUGCGAGCAUGUCGCCUUCGACCGUGAUCCCAGGUCAGGCGGGAUCACCCGCUGAGUUUAAGCAUAUUAAUAAGCGGAGGAAAAGAAAAUUACAAGGAUUCCCCAAGUAACGGCGAGCGAAGCGGGAAUAGCCCAAUUUGAGAAUCGAGCGGCCACGCCGUUUGAAUUGUAGUCUGGAGAAGCAUUCUCAGCGGUGGACCGAGGUCGAGUCCCCUUGAAUGGGGCGCCAUUGAGAGUGAGAGCCCCUUUGCUCCCAGACCCUAUUGCACCACGAGGCACUGUCGGCGAGUCGGGUUGUUUGGGAAUGCAGUCCCAAUCGGGCGGUAAAUUUCGUCCAAGGCUAAAUACGGGCGAGAAAUCAAUAGCAAACAAGUACUGCGAGGGAAAGAUGAAAAGGACUUUGAAAAGAGAGUCAAAUAGUGCUUGAAAUUGUCAGGAGGGAAGCGGAUGGGUGCCAAUGAUGUGUCCCGAUCGGAUGUGGAACGGCGAGAGUCAGUCUGCCAAUCAACUCGGGGCACGCACCAGCACAGAUCAAUGUGGUGCUCAAAGCUCAUGGGGUCGAUAUGCUCAUUGUACGGCAUCGCAUCGAUCUAGGAGGACAACGCGCUCCUCGUGCAUGCCUCGGUAACUGCACAUUCCCGGUGCUGGCUUGCGGGCUGCCCAUUUGACCCAUCUUGAAACACGAACCAAGGAGUCUAACAUGUGCGCGAGUCAAUGGGCGAUUAAACUCGUAAGGCACAAGGAAUCUGACCGGCACGAUUCCCUCGAUGGGUGCACCGCCGACCGACGUUGAUCUUCUGAGAAGGGUUCGAGUGAGCGUACCUAUCAGGACCCGAAAGAUGGUGAACCAUGCCUGAGCGGGGCGAAGCCAGAGGAAACUCUGGUGGAGGCCUGCAGUGAUACUGACGUGCAAAUUGUUCGUCUGACUUAGGUAUAGGGGCGAAAGACUAAUCAAACCGUCCAGUAGCUGGUUCCCUCCAAUGUUUCCUCAGGAUAGCUGGAGCUCUAGUGCAAGUUAUAUCAGGUAAAGCCAAUGAUUAAAGGCAUCGGGGGCGCAACGCCCUCGACCUAUUCUCAAACUUUAAAUAGGUAGGAUGGCGCGCCUGCUCCAUUGAGUCGCGCCGGAGAAUCAUGAGCUCCAAGUAGGCCAUUUUUAGUAAGCAGAACUGAUGAUGCGGGAUGAACUAGAAACCAGGUUAUGGUGCCCAACUGCGCGCUAACCUAGAUCCCACAAAGGGUGUUGGUCUUUUAAGACAGCAGGAUGGUGGUCAUGUAAGUUGAAAUUCCCUAAGGAGUGUGUAACAACUCACCUGCCGAAUCAACUAGCACUGAAAAUGGAUGGCGCUGAAGCACUCGACCUAUACCCAGCUGUAGGGGUAAGGGCCAGGCCACGAUGAGUAGGAGGGCAUGAGCCCUGGCAGAGCGGCCGUCGGUGCGAAUCUUGGUGGUAGUAACAAAUAUUCAAAUGAUAACUUUGAAGGUCGAACAGGGGAAAGGUUCCAUGUGAACGGCACUUGCACAUAGCUUUGUCUAUCCUAAGGGUCGGGGGAAGUCCGACAGACAGCGCAUUCAGCGCGUGCUCCAAAAAGGAAUCAGGUUAAAAUUCCUGAACUAGAAUGCGGUGGUUGACGACAACGUUAAGGAGUCUAGAGACAUCGGUGGGGGCCUCGGGAAGAGUUAUAUUUUCUAUUGAACAGCCCGCCCACCCUGGAAAUAGCUCAGCCGGAGGUAGGGUCCAGUGGCUGGAAGAGCACCGCACGUCGCGUGGUGUCCGGUGCACCCCCGGCGGCCCUUGAAAAUCCAGAGGACCGAGUACCGUCCGUACCCAGUCGUACUUAUAACCACAUUAGGUCUCCUAGGUGAAUAGCCUCUGGUCGAUGGAAUAAUGUAGGCAAGGGAAGUCGGCAAAAUGGAUCUGUAACCUCAGGAAAAAGAUUGGCUUUGAGAGCUGGGCACGGUGGUCCCAUUCCCUAACCAGUCGACUGUUGGCGAACUGCUCGAGCUGCUCGCGUGACGAGAGUCGUUCGUCGCGGCCGGCCGGGGGAGUGACUGGGAACGGCUCCCUCAGGGGCCUUCCCCAGGCAUCGAAGAGUCGACUCAGAACUGGUACAGACAAGGAGAAUCCGACUGUUUAAUUAAAAUAAAGCAUUAUGAUGGUCUAUGUGGAUGCUCACGAAAUGUGAUUUCUGCCCAGUGCUCUGAAUGUCAAAGUGAAGAAAAUCAACCAAGCACGGGUAAACGGCGGGAGUAACUAUGACUCUGAAUAUAGAUGUUAAUAUUCAGAAAAAGGUCGAAGCCAGAUACAAUGUACAAAAACAAACCUCAACGACUGAGGUCGAAAACUAGGCCCCAACGAUACAAACAUCGAGAGGGUCCGAACACAAUCAUCUAGCUAGGAGAAACUGAAACCUAGCUACAUGCAUUAAAAUGUUAUUUAUAACACCACUAAUAGUCGGUUUAGUAUUAUCAAAAAUGACAUCAUUCCUCGCUUUCCAAAUAAAGAAAACCGUAGUAAAAAGAGCAAGCUCCCUCCGUCUAUGAUCUGCUUUCCGAGUACCAUGAUCCUUAGAAAUCCACUUGACGCUUGCAAAGAAGGUAGAAAUACGUCUUUGCCACCCAAUGAAAGAGCGCACUUGGUUCCAAACAGUACUUGAAAAAGAACACUGAAUGUCCAUGAAUGUAAACUUCAUGGAUCCAUCGAAGCCACAAUGAAUUCUUCUUCAAAUGAAUGUCCCAUAUAACACCACACAAUGCAACAUCAUUCAUAAGCUCAAUGUUGCUAUGUCCCAAUCCUCCUAGCUCCUUAGAGAGGAGAACUUCAGACCAUUUAAUAGAGCCACGCUUUCUGCCCCAUAAAAAUAAGCGGAUCAUCCGCUCAACACGCUGAAUAACACCUACGGGAAUCUUGACCAUCGAGGCCCAAAAAUUCAAGAUCCCAUAGAU
This 3291-nucleotide ribosomal RNA is filed under the name Pogostemon cablin (patchouli). RNAcentral describes it as "eukaryotic LSU rRNA". The stretch from base 373 to 3291 matches the Rfam family "Eukaryotic large subunit ribosomal RNA". The record is from RNAcentral. Lineage: Eukaryota; Viridiplantae; Streptophyta; Magnoliopsida; Lamiales; Lamiaceae.